AGGCGUGAUGACGAGGCACUACGGUGCUGAAGCAACAAAUGCCCUGCUUCCAGGAAAAGCCUCUAAGCAUCAGGUAACAUCAAAUCGUACCCCAAACCGACACAGGUGGUCAGGUAGAGAAUACCAAGGCGCUUGAGAGAACUCGGGUGAAGGAACUAGGCAAAAUGGUGCCGUAACUUCGGGAGAAGGCACGCUGAUAUGUAGGUGAAGUCCCUCGCGGAUGGAGCUGAAAUCAGUCGAAGAUACCAGCUGGCUGCAACUGUUUAUUAAAAACACAGCACUGUGCAAACACGAAAGUGGACGUAUACGGUGUGACGCCUGCCCGGUGCCGGAAGGUUAAUUGAUGGGGUUAGCGCAAGCGAAGCUCUUGAUCGAAGCCCCGGUAAACGGCGGCCGUAACUAUAACGGUCCUAAGGUAGCGAAAUUCCUUGUCGGGUAAGUUCCGACCUGCACGAAUGGCGUAAUGAUGGCCAGGCUGUCUCCACCCGAGACUCAGUGAAAUUGAACUCGCUGUGAAGAUGCAGUGUACCCGCGGCAAGACGGAAAGACCCCGUGAACCUUUACUAUAGCUUGACACUGAACAUUGAGCCUUGAUGUGUAGGAUAGGUGGGAGGCUUUGAAGUGUGGACGCCAGUCUGCAUGGAGCCGACCUUGAAAUACCACCCUUUAAUGUUUGAUGUUCUAACGUUGACCCGUAAUCCGGGUUGCGGACAGUGUCUGGUGGGUAGUUUGACUGGGGCGGUCUCCUCCUAAAGAGUAACGGAGGAGCACGAAGGUUGGCUAAUCCUGGUCGGACAUCAGGAGGUUAGUGCAAUGGCAUAAGCCAGCUUGACUGCGAGCGUGACGGCGCGAGCAGGUGCGAAAGCAGGUCAUAGUGAUCCGGUGGUUCUGAAUGGAAGGGCCAUCGCUCAACGGAUAAAAGGUACUCCGGGGAUAACAGGCUGAUACCGCCCAAGAGUUCAUAUCGACGGCGGUGUUUGGCACCUCGAUGUCGGCUCAUCACAUCCUGGGGCUGAAGUAGGUCCCAAGGGUAUGGCUGUUCGCCAUUUAAAGUGGUACGCGAGCUGGGUUUAGAACGUCGUGAGACAGUUCGGUCCCUAUCUGCCGUGGGCGCUGGAGAACUGAGGGGGGCUGCUCCUAGUACGAGAGGACCGGAGUGGACGCAUCACUGGUGUUCGGGUUGUCAUGCCAAUGGCACUGCCCGGUAGCUAAAUGCGGAAGAGAUAAGUGCUGAAAGCAUCUAAGCACGAAACUUGCCCCGAGAUGAGUUCUCCCUGACUCCUUGAGAGUCCUGAAGGAACGUUGAAGACGACGACGUUGAUAGGCCGGGUGUGUAAGCGCAGCGAUGCGUUGAGCUAA
RNAcentral lists this ribosomal RNA (1359 nucleotides) under Escherichia coli. Its description in RNAcentral is "partial 23S ribosomal RNA". It matches the Rfam family "Bacterial large subunit ribosomal RNA", at positions 1559 to 2894 of the family's 2925-position model. Lineage: Bacteria; Pseudomonadati; Pseudomonadota; Gammaproteobacteria; Enterobacterales; Enterobacteriaceae. The record is from RNAcentral.